AACGAACGCUGGCGGCAGGCUUAACACAUGCAAGUCGAACGGUUGUAGCAAUACAGCAGUGGCGCACGGGUGAGUAACGCGUGGAUAUCUGCCUUUUGGUUCGGAAUAACUCCGGGAAACUGGAGCUAAUACCGGAUGGUUCCUGCGGGAUAAAGAUUUAUCGCCAAAAGAUGAGUCCGCGUACGAUUAGCUAGUUGGUGAGGUAAUGGCUCACCAAGGCGACGAUCGUUAGCUGGUCUGAGAGGACGAUCAGCCACACUGGGACUGAGACACGGCCCAGACUCCUACGGGAGGCAGCAGUGGGGAAUAUUGGACAAUGGGGGGCAACCCUGACGCAGCCAUGCCGCGUGAACGAUGAAGGCCUUAGGGUUGUAAAGUUCUUUUACCCGUGACGAUGAUGACGGUAACGGGGGAAUAAGCUCCGGCUAACUUCGUGCCAGCAGCCGCGGUAAU
This 453-nucleotide ribosomal RNA is filed under the name uncultured bacterium. RNAcentral describes it as "bacterial SSU rRNA". It matches the Rfam family "Bacterial small subunit ribosomal RNA", at positions 29 to 524 of the family's 1533-position model. The record is from RNAcentral.